This 320-nucleotide long non-coding RNA is filed under the name Elaeis guineensis (African oil palm). RNAcentral describes it as "long non-coding RNA (EGUI_LNC009472)". Lineage: Eukaryota; Viridiplantae; Streptophyta; Magnoliopsida; Arecales; Arecaceae. The record is from RNAcentral.
GAUCAAUGAAUGUGCUACUGAUAGGUAUGGUAUGAGAUUUUUUUUGAUAUCGAGCAAUCGCAUAGAUCAUCCAGCCUCUACAGAUCGUCCACUCGAAGCUCUGAUCGAAUCAUCCUUCUCGAGAGUGCUAGCUCACGUUGAAGGAUCUAGAUAGUUGAUUCAAGCUCCUUUCUUUGGAUCACCUGAAUUCUUUCAGAUUAGAAGAUGGAGCUCUACGAGGAGGUAGUGAUGUGGGAGAUUCGAACAAGACACUCUUGUGGUUUUCUCUCACACAAAAUCUAAAGUCAAAACCCUAGAACCCACCCUAGACCUCACGCCCA